RNAcentral lists this ribosomal RNA (670 nucleotides) under uncultured bacterium. Its description in RNAcentral is "bacterial SSU rRNA". It matches the Rfam family "Bacterial small subunit ribosomal RNA", at positions 111 to 782 of the family's 1533-position model. The record is from RNAcentral.
UAACGCGUGGAUAACCUGCCGUAUACAGGGGGAUAACACUUAGAAAUAGGUGCUAAUACCGCAUAAGCGCACGGUUCCGCAUGGAACAGUGUGAAAAACUCCGGUGGUAUACGAUGGAUCCGCGUCUGAUUAGCCAGUUGGCGGGGUAACGGCCCACCAAAGCGACGAUCAGUAGCCGGCCUGAGAGGGUGAACGGCCACAUUGGGACUGAGACACGGCCCAAACUCCUACGGGAGGCAGCAGUGGGGAAUAUUGCACAAUGGGGGAAACCCUGAUGCAGCGACGCCGCGUGAGUGAAGAAGUAUUUCGGUACGUAAAGCUCUAUCAGCAGGGAAGAAAAAAAGUCCUUUGGACUUUGGACGGUACCUGACUAAGAAGCCCCGGCUAACUACGUGCCAGCAGCCGCGGUAAUACGUAGGGGGCAAGCGUUAUCCGGAUUUACUGGGUGUAAAGGGAGCGUAGACGGCAGCGCAAGUCUGGAGUGAAAUGCCGGGGCCCAACCCCGGAACUGCUUUGGAAACUGUGCAGCUGGAGUGCAGGAGAGGUAAGCGGAAUUCCUAGUGUAGCGGUGAAAUGCGUAGAUAUUAGGAGGAACACCAGUGGCGAAGGCGGCUUACUGGACUGUAACUGACGUUGAGGCUCGAAAGCGUGGGGAGCAAACAGGAUUAGA